GCAGUCGUGGCCGAGUGGUUAAGGCGAUGGACUUGAAAUCCAUUGGGGUCUCCCCGCGCAGGUUCGAAUCCUGCGGCUGCG
RNAcentral lists this transfer RNA (81 nucleotides) under Trichonephila clavata. It matches the Rfam family "tRNA". Rfam says of the family: Transfer RNA (tRNA) molecules are approximately 80 nucleotides in length. Their secondary structure includes four short double-helical elements and three loops (D, anti-codon, and T loops). Further hydrogen bonds mediate the characteristic L-shaped molecular structure. tRNAs have two regions of fundamental functional importance: the anti-codon, which is responsible for specific mRNA codon recognition, and the 3' end, to which the tRNAs corresponding amino acid is attached (by aminoacyl-tRNA synthetases). tRNAs cope with the degeneracy of the genetic code in two manners: having more than one tRNA (with a specific anti-codon) for a particular amino acid; and 'wobble' base-pairing, i.e. permitting non-standard base-pairing at the 3rd anti-codon position. Lineage: Eukaryota; Metazoa; Arthropoda; Arachnida; Araneae; Nephilidae. The record is from Rfam by way of RNAcentral.